Orcinus orca (killer whale) is the source of this 1544-nucleotide long non-coding RNA. RefSeq lists it as uncharacterized. Lineage: Eukaryota; Metazoa; Chordata; Mammalia; Artiodactyla; Delphinidae. The transcript is spliced from 2 exons. The record is from RefSeq and is a predicted model, not a curated record.
GGCUUUAACCAGAAAGGAAGCAGCCUGCCGUGUCCAUUUCUGCAUCUAUUGCUUUUUCACUAAAUCUAGAAAUAAAUCUAGUUCUAUGGAGCUGCAGAGACAAUUUGUGGAGGGGCCAGGGAACAAAUGUGACUUCAGAAUACAACCUGGUGACAUGUGAGCACUGUAGGCAAAGCCGAGAAUUGACACAGCCCAGGUGGUCAAGGGGCAAGGGACGAGAGCCUUCCUGCCUGCCCCUUCAUUAGUUCCGAUUGGCCCACUAAGAAUACCUCAGACCAAUAAAGCAUCUGGGAGCCAAUCCAAGCUACUUAACUCCAAAUUACUGAGGUGCCAACAGGCGCUAGGCUUAUAAAUCUGUCUUUUAUCAUCUGGUUGGCUUAGCCAGGUCUCCAAAAGCGACAGUAAAAUUUUAUGAUGUACUUUAACAAGCCGACCUUCAGAGUCAGGCUUUGUUCUGUAUGAAAUCUUUCCCCUGCAGCAAUGGAGGUCAGACUGGAUCACCUAACCCUGCCUUGAUGCCACGAGUUGUUGGGCUAAGGCUAGACAGUCACAUCUAAAUAGAUUUCUCAUUCAAUCUAGUGAAAUACCCUGGCCUUAAUGCACUCUUAGCCUUUUUUGUAAGUGGUAUAAUUAUAAAGAUUUUCUGGUUGUUCAGUCUUAUUUUAUUAUUAUUAUUUUUUAAACUGUUGUCGUUUUUUGUUUGUUUUGUUUUUUGGCUACUCCUCGCGGCUUGCAGGACCUUAGUUCCCCGACCAGGGAUCGAACCCAGGCCCCGGCAAUGAAAGCACCGCGUCCUAACCACUGGACUGCCAGGGAAUUCCCUUUACUGUUGUAGUUUAAAAUUCCACCUUAGGGUGUCGUCGCUCCACCUUGGGUCCCAGAUAGUCCCCCAGGGGACCCGAGAGCCUAAGCUGUCCACCCCUCCACCUUUGCCGGCCCAGAGGAGGGUCCCUCUCCAGGAACCAGAAGGCUCCGGCUUUGUUCUGCUCCGCUGGAUGUGACCAGCCCAGACUCCUUCCUGCUGUGUCUUUCAAAUGGAUAAUUCUGUAAACCAAGCUGUGGCGAAGGAAAAGGAUUAGGAGACUCCAUAAAAGGGAUGUGUAUGCAUUUGCACGGUAGGUCAUUGCCUUGGCCUUCCUUGCCUUGCUGGAACUUUUUUUUUUUUAAACCUCUUUAUUGGAAUAUAAUUGCUUUACAAUGGUGUGUUAGUUUCUGCUGUAUAACAAAGUGAAUCAGCUAUACGUGUACAUAUAUCCCCAUAUCCCCUCCCUCUUGCGUCUCCCUCCCACCCUCCCUAUCCCACCCCUCUAGGUGGUCACAAGAGGGAAGGUUUUAAUUGAGUGAAUUUCCCAGGUAGACGAGAAUAGCUCCAGAGCAGGGGGCAUGGUGGGGGAGAUCUUUGUAUGUAAAUAGUGCCUCAGGAUCUAGGUCUACACGGAGAGGGAAAGUGGCUUGGCCUUCAUACUCCUGAAAGGCCUCAGAUUUGGAUCCUUGAUGUUCUCUCCAAAGAACCAGCCCUAAGAUAGUCUCAUGGUAACAAAAGA